This 497-nucleotide ribosomal RNA is filed under the name uncultured bacterium. RNAcentral describes it as "partial 16S ribosomal RNA". It matches the Rfam family "Bacterial small subunit ribosomal RNA", at positions 28 to 507 of the family's 1533-position model. The record is from RNAcentral.
GAUGAACGCUGGCGGCGUGCCUAAUACAUGCAAGUCGAGCGAACGGACGAGAAGCUUGCUUCUCUGACGUUAGCGGCGGACGGGUGAGUAACACGUGGAUAACCUACCUAUAAGACUGGGAUAACUUCGGGAAACCGGAGCUAAUACCGGAUAAUAUUUUGAACCGCAUGGUUCAAAAGUGAAAGACGGUCUUGCUGUCACUUAUAGAUGGAUCCGCGCUGCAUUAGCUAGUUGGUAAGGUAACGGCUUACCAAGGCAACGAUGCGUAGCCGACCUGAGAGGGUGAUCGGCCACACUGGAACUGAGACACGGUCCAGACUCCUACGGGAGGCAGCAGUAGGGAAUCUUCCGCAAUGGGCGAAAGCCUGACGGAGCAACGCCGCGUGAGUGAUGAAGGUCCUCGGAUCGUAAAACUCUGUUAUUAGGGAAGAACAUAUGUGUAAGUAACUGUGCACAUCUUGACGGUACCUAAUCAGAAAGCCACGGCUAACUACGUG